Molecule: ribosomal RNA, 232 nt
Filed under: uncultured bacterium
Lineage: Bacteria
Description: partial 16S ribosomal RNA
Rfam family: Bacterial small subunit ribosomal RNA
Source: RNAcentral
CGGACGGGUGAGUAAUGUCUGGGAAACUGCCUGAUGGAGGGGGAUAACUACUGGAAACGGUAGCUAACACCGCAUAACGUCGCAAGACCAAAGAGGGGGACCUUCGGGCCUCUUGCCAUCGGAUGUGCCCAGAUGGGAUUAGCUAGUAGGUGGGGUAAAGGCUCACCUAGGCGACGAUCCCUAGCUGGUCUGAGAGGAUGACCAGCCACACUGGAACUGAGACACGGUCCAG